Triticum dicoccoides is the source of this 4174-nucleotide RNA transcript. RefSeq lists it as uncharacterized. Lineage: Eukaryota; Viridiplantae; Streptophyta; Magnoliopsida; Poales; Poaceae. The record is from RefSeq and is a predicted model, not a curated record. The transcript has 7 exons.
CCUGGACACCAAUCGCUUUCGCCCUCAAGCCCCGUGUUCUCCUCGAGUUCCCCUUCGCCUCUCACCUCCUUCAUCCACGGCCGGUCGUGAGAGAGAGCCGGCGGAAGCAGGGGCCAGAUCAAGAAGGAGGGUGUUGGCGACCUAGGUGCAGGCCGCCGGCGUGGGUCUGGCGGGCGUGGCGGCCGGUGGGGUUCUGGCGGGCUUGGCGGCCGACGGCGAUCUGGCGGGCGUGGCUGGAGCUAGAAGGGCAGCAGUAGCCUGUGGGGUGGCCACCGGACCGACAGCGACUUCAAUGGAGGGGAACGGUCCGGCAGGCGCAUGCAGGCGGGAGAAACUGGGGGCGCUCGUCGGUUGGGAAGAUGGCGACCACUUGAGCUUCUCGAUCUGGACAGGGCCACUACAGCACAAGCAAGGGGUGGGCGCGAGCAACUCUAUGGAGCCACACACGUCUACAGCCCAUACAUAGAUGACAGGCCUGCAAGGAAAGGAGCAGAAGAAAACAUGCUUGGCUGUUUGUUUCCAGGAAGUAACGAUCAAAGAAGAAGAGUUAGAUGCUGCUUUGAUGGUAAACAUAUGCUUUAUUCUGGGAAGCAUAUGUUCUUGGUGCUUAAUAGCUUUGCAUUAACCUUCAAGGUUUGCCUUCCCAAUUUUAUCUCAUCGUCUUUGAUCCAGUUAGUGCCCAGCUUCUUCUGCUCUUGGUGAAAUAUCAAUAGAUGGAAGUCAGCCUAGGCAUAUGUGUACUAAUUUAGGAUAUUUCGAGUUUGGGGUUAGUUCAUAGUAGAGCUUGCUUUGCACUAUGUAUCUACCCGCCUUCAACACUAUGGUCUGUCUGCUGGGAUGUUUUGACAAGCACACUAUACUCCCCUGGGAAGUUUUUUUGCUCUGCUUUGAGGGCAUGUUGAAUUCUGAGUGACUUCAUUGAGCAUAUCAGGAGAUUGAUAGAUAGUGCGAGAGCUGGUAAGAUUAUUAGGAAGUUAAAUAAUUUUACAGCAUUAAUCUGAAUCUCAUACUCACACAUGAAUGGUGUCGGUUCCUAACAUUUAGCAUUUCUACGAUUUGCCCUUUUUAACUAUAUCCAAAAUGCAGAGAAGCGAGUUUUAUUUUCCAGGAGCUCUUAUGUUGCAGCUGAUACUAUUUUAUUCCCUUCAUCAUUUAUGAGGUCAGUACUAAUUUCACUUCCUCCCUCUUCUAUGAUUAAUCCACCAUGCCGAUAUGCUUCAUGACGACCAUGCUUUUGCCAUCCCUCACCCUCUCAGGUUAGAAUUACCCCCCUCUCAUUUGCUCAUGUGUGUCUGCUCAGUUUGAUAAAAAAAUGUCUACUAAGAAAAAUUUCUAAUGUAUAUUUCACUCAACAACAAAGAAUGUGCCUAAUGUGUGUGAUGACCUAAAAAAAUGUGUGUGUGUGUUUGCUCAAAGAACAAUAUAUGCUCAUGUGUGUCAGUCAGCAAUUGCCCUGUUAUCUGAAACCUAAUGCUAAACUGGACACCAACUAAUGCAGAUAAAUCGAGAGCAACACCAGCCUAAACUUCAUCUGAUCUCGAAAAAAGGGAAUAUAAACCAGCUAGACCAUCUACCCAGGCCAUCAUCUUCUUAUUUUUCACGCCUUGGAUAGUAUAUCUUGAAAUGGUACUGUUCAUGCCAAAUUUAUUUAUUUAUUUUAACCUUAUGGAUGCAAAUAUUUUUUGAUAUAUUAGUGGUCAAAGUUAUAAUGUUUAAUUAAUACAUCUAGCGCUGAUACAUAUUCACCACAUAUGAAUUACUUAUUUGACUGUUUAGCUAAAUGCAUUGUUGUUUGCAUUUUGAGAAGGGUGAUGUUCUGAUUUGUGCUGAUAUUCAUCUUUCUUUCUUUCUAAAGAUAUUCGAGAAAGAAGAUAGUAGGACAAGGCUAAAGGGGAACUAUGGUUAAAAGCUUUCUUUCUUUUGUUGUGACCUGUCUUACCUGGUUCUGCUUGAUAUGUUACUAAGCCGGGAUCAUGUAGUAACUAUAUUUAAUUAAAAUUUAGGUCAGUGGGAGCCUCUCCCACUGUCUUUCACUGGUCAAAAAAAGCUUGGAUCGUGUAAUCUUCUAACCUUCACUAAUCUUUCAUGCAUAAGCAGAGUUGCGUCCACAGUGGAGGCGCAAAUCAAGAAGGUUGACUGAGGAGAUGAGGUUGGGUGCCGAGCACAUGGCAGGAUGAAGGUGCAGGCCUGUGUUUUUUUGGAUGGCAGCGGCAUACUACUUCAAUGAAUAAGAUAUCAUGCCUUUGUUUUUUUGCUCUGCUUUGCUUUUUAAAAGAAAUAUAAAUAAGAUAUCAUAAACUGAUAUCAUGCCUUUGUUUUGGCCUAUAAACCUACCAUACAAUGUAAUAUAUAAUGCUAUGUAUGAUCAUCAUACACAAAUAUCUAUUUCCUUGUGUUUCAGAGAUUCUAUGAUCGGUCUAUAAAUAUUGUUACUUGCAUGGUUUGAGUGUUUGGUUCACUCUCGCCUUUUGCGCCAUUGGCAUAAUAGGUAUUCUCAUGAAACUUUGUUAUCCCUUGAUUAUAAAAGUCAAAUCGAGUUUAUAUCCAUAUUUGUUUCUCGAUUAUUCAUCCUUCAGUUGGAUUAAAGUUUUUCUAUUGUUUGCAAGUGAAACUUACUUGAUGUACCUUUGGUAUGCUGAUAUAUAAUAACUCGAUGUACCUUUGGUAUGCUGAUAUCUGAUAGCAAAGUAAUUCAGAAUGCAGGUACUCCCCCUCUCCCCUUUGUGCCCUCUCUCUUCUCCAACCCCUCUUUCCUGUUACACACAACCAUUGGGGCAGCAUACCAUAUGAAUCCAAAGUUAAUCACGUGCUUCUUGCCCCUCUCUCUCUCUCCCUCUCUUCACAUGUACUCUCGUGGAUUUAGUCAGAUUUGAUUUAUUCUUGUUUCCUUUCCAGAUUUAAUUUCAUCCUUGUUUCCAAGCUCUUCCUAUUCAUAAUCUAUUAAUUAAUGACUUGUACAUACGUAUUUUAUCAUGUCUACUAAUAAUCUCAUCACAUUACAGUUCAUACAUCAGUUUAUUUUAUCUUGUUUCCUUCAAGUACGUAUUUAGGCUGUUCAUUUUCCCUUUUUCAGAUGUAUGCCAUGUAUGUGUAGCCAUGGUUCUGAAACACCACCAUUCCUUCUCUUCCUAUCAAUUUUCUUUGAUUCAGUUAUUUGACUAAAUGAUAAUAUAUGCCCCAGGGUUAAUUAGUACCUAAAAUGCUACCUUUGGUUUGUGAAAAAGAUCUAGAGUGGCUUCUGCAGCUCCUGUUAUGUUUCAUUGAUUCAGUCAUGUAGUAGGAUAGUUCCACUGAAUUUUACUAAAUGGUUUUGUAGCUUUACUUAGUGAAAAUGCCUCAAUUGGUUUCUGCAACAUUGCUUGUCUGUUGGCAGCUGGAGCAUACUUGGUACAUGAGCCUUGCCGUGAAUGGUGGUGCAACGGUGACCUCGACGAGCAGGGCAAUGGCCAGACACGAGUAAGGCACCAAAGAUGACUGGAAGCACUCAAAAAAGUUUACCACGCUGGAGCUAUGUCAGGUUGUACGAGGGCAGUUAAUGAAUAUACUUGCGACCCUUUUACUCUCAGAUGUACCUAGGAGAAAUGCAGAAUUAAGAAGAGCUAUUUUCAGAACACCACUAUAUAUAUGCGGAACUCAGACUCUUUUUGAAGAUGGAUGGAUGAACUUGAUCCCUGUCCAUCUCUGCUUUUUGUCGACUCUCCUCCUUUUCUCGCUGCUGAACCCCUGCCACCAUCAUGUCCAGACUGGCUGUCUCCAUGGUUGUGGCGCCAAGGUCACCGCAUCUUACAUCCUGAUGCAUGUUGAAGCAUGAGGCUGGAAUACAAGGUGUGUUAGGUUGAAGCAUGAGGCUGGAAUGGGUCUUGUGCGAGGACUAGCGUUUGCUAUAGUCAAACCAAAAUACUUCUAAAAUUGCAGCUGCACUUGUUGGUCUGAUGUACAUGAGAAGCCCCAAUUUUGUUGGCAAUAGAUGCAUGGUUUCUCAGUAAUUAAAAUAACUUAAUUUUUUAUAUAAUGUAUGGUAGUCAUGUGUCUGAUGUUCUUCGUGUAUCGGUACGGUUCCCAUGUUUGAUGUUUUUUACUUUCGCAAAAUUGGUCGAUGCUGAUGAGAAUGGCACCGGUGGUCUUUGACAAUUAUAUUUUUUAUGUAUAUAAUGUUCCCAAUUUUAUUGUUUUA